GUAGGGAAUAUUGCGCAAUGGGGGAAACCCUGACGCAGCGACGCCGCGUGAGUGAUGAAGGCCUUCGGGUCGUAAAGCUCUGUUGCAGGGGAAUAAAAAAAUGAAGGUACCCUGUGAGGAAGGAUCGGCUAACUUCGUGCCAGCAGCCGCGGUAAGACGAGGGAUCCUAGCGUUGCUCGGAAUCAUUGGGCGUAAAGCGGGCGUAGGUGGCUUGGUAAGUCAGGUGUGAAAGCCCAGGGCUCAACCCUGGAAGUGCAUUUGAUACUGCUGAGCUUGAGUGUCGGAGAGGUUACCGGAAUACCUGGUGUAGUGGUGAAAUACGUAGAUAUCAGGUGGAACACCGGAGGCGAAGGCGGGUAACUGGACGAACACUGACACUGAGGCCCGAAAGCGUGGGGAUCAAACAGGAUUAGAAACCCCUGUAGUCC
RNAcentral lists this ribosomal RNA (428 nucleotides) under uncultured bacterium. RNAcentral's name for it is "partial 16S ribosomal RNA". It matches the Rfam family "Bacterial small subunit ribosomal RNA", at positions 354 to 796 of the family's 1533-position model. The record is from RNAcentral.